UACGGGGGGGGCAAGCGUUGUUCGGAAUUACUGGGCGUAAAGGGCUCGUAGGUGGCCAACUAAGUCAUACGUGAAAUCCCUCGGCUUAACCGGGGAACUGCGUCUGAUACUGGAUGGCUUGAGUUUGGGAGAGGGACGCGGAAUUCCAGGUGUAGCGGUGAAAUGCGUAGAUAUCUGGAGGAACACCGGUGGCGAAGGCGGCGUCCUGGACCAAUACUGACACUGAGGAGCGAAAGCCAGGGGAGCAAACGGG
RNAcentral lists this ribosomal RNA (253 nucleotides) under uncultured bacterium. Its description in RNAcentral is "partial 16S ribosomal RNA". It matches the Rfam family "Bacterial small subunit ribosomal RNA", at positions 524 to 776 of the family's 1533-position model. The record is from RNAcentral.